RNAcentral lists this ribosomal RNA (1398 nucleotides) under Curtobacterium. RNAcentral's name for it is "bacterial SSU rRNA". It matches the Rfam family "Bacterial small subunit ribosomal RNA". The record is from RNAcentral. Lineage: Bacteria; Bacillati; Actinomycetota; Actinomycetes; Micrococcales; Microbacteriaceae. RNAcentral also lists the same sequence under 1 other name.
UGCAGUCGAACGAUGAUGCCCAGCUUGCUGGGUGGAUUAGUGGCGAACGGGUGAGUAACACGUGAGUAACCUGCCCCUGACUCUGGGAUAAGCGUUGGAAACGACGUCUAAUACUGGAUAUGAUCACUGGCCGCAUGGUCUGGUGGUGGAAAGAUUUUUUGGUUGGGGAUGGACUCGCGGCCUAUCAGCUUGUUGGUGAGGUAAUGGCUCACCAAGGCGACGACGGGUAGCCGGCCUGAGAGGGUGACCGGCCACACUGGGACUGAGACACGGCCCAGACUCCUACGGGAGGCAGCAGUGGGGAAUAUUGCACAAUGGGCGAAAGCCUGAUGCAGCAACGCCGCGUGAGGGAUGACGGCCUUUCCGGGUUGUAAACCUCUUUUAGUAGGGAAGAAAGCGAAAGUGACGGUACCUUGCAGAAAAAGCACCGGCUAACUACGUGCCAGCAGCCGCGGUAAUACGUAGGGUGCAAGCGUUGUCCGGAAUUAUUGGGCGUAAAGAGCUCGUAGGCGGUUUGUCGCGUCUGCUGUGAAAUCCCGAGGCUCAACCUCGGGCUUGCAGUGGGUACGGGCAGACUAGAGUGCGGUAGGGGAGAUUGGAAUUCCUGGUGUAGCGGUGGAAUGCGCAGAUAUCAGGAGGAACACCGAUGGCGAAGGCAGAUCUCUGGGCCGUAACUGACGCUGAGGAGCGAAAGCAUGGGGAGCGAACAGGAUUAGAUACCCUGGUAGUCCAUGCCGUAAACGUUGGGCGCUAGAUGUAGGGACCUUUCCACGGUUUCUGUGUCGUAGCUAACGCAUUAAGCGCCCCGCCUGGGGAGUACGGCCGCAAGGCUAAAACUCAAAGGAAUUGACGGGGGCCCGCACAAGCGGCGGAGCAUGCGGAUUAAUUCGAUGCAACGCGAAGAACCUUACCAAGGCUUGACAUACACCGGAAACGGGCCAGAGAUGGUCGCCCCCUUGUGGUCGGUGUACAGGUGGUGCAUGGUUGUCGUCAGCUCGUGUCGUGAGAUGUUGGGUUAAGUCCCGCAACGAGCGCAACCCUCGUUCUAUGUUGCCAGCGGGUUAUGCCGGGGACUCAUAGGAGACUGCCGGGGUCAACUCGGAGGAAGGUGGGGAUGACGUCAAAUCAUCAUGCCCCUUAUGUCUUGGGCUUCACGCAUGCUACAAUGGCCGGUACAAAGGGCUGCGAUACCGUAAGGUGGAGCGAAUCCCAAAAAGCCGGUCUCAGUUCGGAUUGAGGUCUGCAACUCGACCUCAUGAAGUCGGAGUCGCUAGUAAUCGCAGAUCAGCAACGCUGCGGUGAAUACGUUCCCGGGCCUUGUACACACCGCCCGUCAAGUCAUGAAAGUCGGUAACACCCGAAGCCGGUGGCCUAACCCUUGUGGAAGGAGCCGUCGAA